UACGGGGGGGGCAAGCGUUGUUCGGAAUUACUGGGCGUAAAGGGCUCGUAGGUGGCCAACUAAGUCAGCCGUGAAAUCCCCAGGCUCAACUUGGGAACUGCGUCUGAUACUGGAUGGCUUGAAUUCGGGAGAGGGAUGCAGAAUUCCAGGUGUAGCGGUGAAAUGCGUAGAUAUCUGGAGGAAUACCGGUGGCGAAGGCGGCAUCCUGGACCGAGAUUGACACUGAUGAGCGAAAGCUAGGGGAGCAAACGGG
Molecule: ribosomal RNA, 253 nt
Filed under: uncultured bacterium
Lineage: Bacteria
Description: partial 16S ribosomal RNA
Rfam family: Bacterial small subunit ribosomal RNA
Source: RNAcentral